GGGGGUGUACCGGUUUCGACGGGGAUCUUGAAGUGUGAUAAGCGGGUCAGGCCGGGUAAUCCUGUCAACUGCCCAACCUUAAAAAAUAAACGACAACAAUACUGUUGCUCUUGCAGCCUAAUUGGCUGUGACGCGGCCCAUUGCGCCGCCCGUCUCCCGGAGAAGGACCACGGUCUCCGCUGAGGCGUCAUGUAAGUGGUGAACUUGCAUCGGUAUUUCGCCAUUGAACCGAUCAAGCACAAAAUGGCUGCUUGCGUUACGGUUUGUUCCUGUACCGUGCCGUGAGGAGAUCUAAACAGUAACUGCACCCGGAGAAAGUUGCAUGAAUGGGUUUUCGGACAGGGGUUCGACUCCCCUCACCUCCACCA
RNAcentral lists this transfer-messenger RNA (368 nucleotides) under Eubacteriales. RNAcentral's name for it is "RGIG8715 sp017622085 Standard tmRNA". It matches the Rfam family "transfer-messenger RNA". From Rfam's summary of the family: Bacterial tmRNA, also known as 10Sa RNA or SsrA, is named for its dual tRNA and mRNA-like properties. Its role is to liberate the mRNA from a stalled ribosome. The record is from RNAcentral. RNAcentral also lists the same sequence under 1 other name. Lineage: Bacteria; Bacillati; Bacillota; Clostridia.